GAUGAACGCUGGCGGCGUGCUUAACACAUGCAAGUCGAACGGAAAGGCCCAAGCUUGCUUGGGUACUCGAGUGGCGAACGGGUGAGUAACACGUGGGUGAUCUGCCCUGCACUUCGGGAUAAGCCUGGGAAACUGGGUCUAAUACCGGAUAGGACGAUGGGUUGGAUGGCAUUGUGGAAAGAUUUUUCGGUGUGGGGUGUGCUCGCGGCCUAUCAGCUUGUGGGGGGGGGGAUGGCGUACCCAGGCGUCGACGGGUAGCCGGCCUGUGAGGGUGUACGGCGCCAUUGUGGCUGAGAUACGGCCCAGACUCCUACGCGGGGCAGCAGUGGGGAAUAUUGUGCAAUGUGCGCGAGCCUGAUGCAGCGACGCGGCGUGGGGGAUGUCGGGCUCCGGGUUGUAUACUCCUUUCGCGCGUGAGGAGGCGUUUUUGUGACGGUACCUGGUGAAGAAGCACCGGCUAACUACGUG
This 468-nucleotide ribosomal RNA is filed under the name uncultured bacterium. Its description in RNAcentral is "partial 16S ribosomal RNA". It matches the Rfam family "Bacterial small subunit ribosomal RNA", at positions 28 to 507 of the family's 1533-position model. The record is from RNAcentral.